Mustela lutreola (European mink) is the source of this 2166-nucleotide long non-coding RNA. RefSeq lists it as uncharacterized. The record is from RefSeq and is a predicted model, not a curated record. The transcript is spliced from 2 exons. NCBI's taxonomy places the organism in Eukaryota, Metazoa, Chordata, Mammalia, Carnivora, Mustelidae.
ACCCCUCCCCUAGAAGAUAGAUAGGAUAACUAACCGCUUGUUUGCUUUUCUGUAAACCGCUGGCUUUUAGGUAUAGACCAGGUUAUUAAUUAGGUUAUUAAUUGCUUAUUAAUCGCUCUUUUGCCCUUCUGUAACCGCUUGGCUUAUAGAAAUAAUAGAAGGUAGGCAUUCCUACCUUCCCCCUUCUUGUUCCCCCUCCCUGCCUCUCUCCUCCCGCGCGCGGGCCCUCAGAACCAAUCAGCCUGUUCCCCCUUCCCGCCUCUCUCUUCGCGCGUGCGCGCGGGUCCCCAAAGCCAAUCAGCAAACUCCACGUAUGCCUUUUUCAAAAGUUCUAACUGUCAACCAAUCAGUUGCGCCCCACCCAAAACUUGUUUGUACCUGUCUAUAAAAACCCGGCACCACCCCAGCCGGGUGUGCUCAGCUAGCAGGAGCUGCUGACCACCCGCAGGCGCCUGCGUAACAAUAAAGAACCUCUUGCUGAUUGCAUCCAGUGGCAGUGUUGGAUUCUUGGGUAAGGGGAUCCGCGGGUCUUUCAUUUGGAGGUUCCACCGAGAUCAUCGGACUCCUGCCCACGGAUCCAACUGACUCCCACCGGGAGGUAAGCUGGCCAGCAUUCUUGUCUCCUGUCUCAUGUUCUCGUUUGUAUCCAGUCUCGUGUUCUUGUUUGUCUCUAGUCUUGUGAGGCCUCUGUUUGGACCUAUACUGCGGUUAGCGGUAUAGUGUUUGUACAACAGCGUGCGUUGUUGGAUUGUAUUUGUAGGCAGCUUGAGAAGGAGCUGACGAGCUCGGACUUCUCCCCUGCCAACUCUGGGGGACGCUCCAGGGUGUCGAGGGGCCCAAUUUUUUGGAGCCCCUCAUUUGUCCGAGGGUUAUAUCCGUUUGUCCGUUCCAGAGGAACCCCUCGGCCCUGGACGGAAUUUGUCCACCGCAGGGAGAUCUCGAGGCUCCUCUGGGCCGGUGGAAACCUUGCUUUCGGUAGCAUACCGAAACCGCGCAGCGACCUUUUUGUUAAUUGUUUUGUGUGUUCUACUCGUUGUCCUUGGUGUUUUCUUUGAGUCUAAAAUGGGGCUUCUCCCUCAUUCACUUCCCGUGUUAAUGGCUAUAACUGGAGCCAACUGGGGUUAGUCUCACUCGAGACAGAGACUAUAAGGAAUAUUCCCAAGCAGCUGCCGAAACUCUCUUUGUUUCGGGGAAGUUUCCUUGUGUUCUCUGGCCUGACUUAGACUGCUUAACCCCUCCCACCUUGCUGGUGGGAAAGCAUGGUGUCUGCUCCUCUGUUGGGGCUUAGGAGCUCCAAAACUGGGAAUCCUUUCUCUGCCUCCUGGCGGCACUUUGUUUCUUCUGUUUCCCCCUUACGUGUUUCUGUACCAACGUGUGUGCAGCCUGCAUGACUGGCCUCUAGAUCAUGCACCACAGCUCCUUCUCUCUCCACUGUCAAGGAGCAAGAACAACACCCCCUGGACCUAACACCUCCCCACUCCAGAUCUUCCCACGCAUGCCUCAGGUUAGUACAGUUCAUUAAAGAUCGCCUGUCUGUUGUUCAGACUAUGGUACUGACACAGCGAUACCAACUCCUCAAACAAACAGAGCCCCGGACUAGCUCAAUGCAAGGGCAGGACAUGCAAGAACAAGAUGAACGGAUAGAAGAUUCUAUCCAUGAUAAAGAAAAAGGGGGGAAUGAAAGACCCCUCCCCUAGAAGAUAGAUAGGAUAACUAACCGCUUGUUUGCUUUUCUGUAAACCGCUGGCUUUUAGGUAUAGACCAGGUUAUUAAUUAGGUUAUUAAUUGCUUAUUAAUCGCUCUUUUGCCCUUCUGUAACCGCUUGGCUUAUAGGAAUAAUAGAAGGUAGGCAUUCCUACCUUCCCCCUUCUUGUUCCCCCUCCCUGCCUCUCUCCUCCCGCGCGCGGGCCCUCAGAACCAAUCAGCCUGUUCCCCCUUCCCGCCUCUCUCUUCGCGCGCGUGGGUCCCCAAAGCCAAUCAGCAAACUCCACGUAUGCCUUUUUCAAAAGUUCUAACUGUCAACCAAUCAGUUGCGCCCCACCCAAAACUUGUUUGUACCUGUCUAUAAAAACCCGGCACCACCCCAGCCGGGUGUGCUCAGCUAGCAGGAGCUGCUGACCACCCGCAGGCGCCUGCGUAACAAUAAAGAACCUCUUGCUGAUUGCA